This is a small nuclear RNA of Lontra canadensis (Northern American river otter), 103 nucleotides long. NCBI's taxonomy places the organism in Eukaryota, Metazoa, Chordata, Mammalia, Carnivora, Mustelidae. The record is from RefSeq and is a predicted model, not a curated record.
GUCGUUUUGGCAGCACAUAUACUAAAAUGGAAUAAUACAGAGAAGAUUAGUAUGACUCCUGUGCAAGGACGACACGCAGAUUUAUAAAAUGUUCCAUAUUUGU